RNAcentral lists this ribosomal RNA (2802 nucleotides) under Salmonella enterica. RNAcentral's name for it is "partial 23S ribosomal RNA". It matches the Rfam family "Bacterial large subunit ribosomal RNA". Lineage: Bacteria; Pseudomonadati; Pseudomonadota; Gammaproteobacteria; Enterobacterales; Enterobacteriaceae. The record is from RNAcentral.
GGGUUGUGAGGUUAAGCGACUAAGCGUACACGGUGGAUGCCCUGGCAGUCAGAGGCGAUGAAGGACGUGCUAAUCUGCGAUAAGCGCCGGUAAGGUGAUAUGAACCGUUAUAACCGGCGAUUUCCGAAUGGGGAAACCCAGUGUGAUUCGUCACACUAUCAUUACGUGAAUACAUAGCGUAAUGAAGCGAACCGGGGGAACUGAAACAUCUAAGUACCCCGAGGAAAAGAAAUCAACCGAGAUUCCCCCAGUAGCGGCGAGCGAACGGGGAGGAGCCCAGAGCCUGAAUCAGCAUGUGUGUUAGUGGAAGCGUCUGGAAAGGCGCGCGAUACAGGGUGACAGCCCCGUACACAAAAGCGCAUGUGCUGUGAGCUCGAUGAGUAGGGCGGGACACGUGGUAUCCUGUCUGAAUAUGGGGGGACCAUCCUCCAAGGCUAAAUACUCCUGACUGACCGAUAGUGAACCAGUACCGUGAGGGAAAGGCGAAAAGAACCCCGGCGAGGGGAGUGAAAAAGAACCUGAAACCGUGUACGUACAAGCAGUGGGAGCCCCACCACUAAGCCAGUGGUGAACUCCACAUACGCAUCCUUUGCUGAGGAUACGGUUAACGGAGCGAAAGCGACGUUCAACCGCAAAAGAAGCAGAGGGGGCUUAGUGGUGGGGUGACUGCGUACCUUUUGUAUAAUGGGUCAGCGACUUAUAUUCUGUAGCAAGGUUAACCGAAUAGGGGAGCCGCAGGGAAACCGAGUCUUAAUUGGGCGUUAAGUUGCAGGGUAUAGACCCGAAACCCGGUGAUCUAGCCAUGGGCAGGUUGAAGGUUGGGUAACACUAACUGGAGGACCGAACCGACUAAUGUUGAAAAAUUAGCGGAUGACCUGUGGCUGGGGGUGAAAGGCCAAUCAAACCGGGAGAUAGCUGGUUCUCCCCGAAAGCUAUUUAGGUAGCGCCUCGUGAAUUCAUCUCCGGGGGUAGAGCACUGUUUCGGCUAGGGGGCCAUCCCGGCUUACCAACCCGAUGCAAACUGCGAAUACCGGAGAAUGUUAUCACGGGAGACACACGGCGGGUGCUAACGUCCGUCGUGAAGAGGGAAACAACCCAGACCGCCAGCUAAGGUCCCAAAGUCAUGGUUAAGUGGGAAACGAUGUGGGAAGGCCCAGACAGCCAGGAUGUUGGCUUAGAAGCAGCCAUCAUUUAAAGAAAGCGUAAUAGCUCACUGGUCGAGUCGGCCUGCGCGGAAGAUGUAACGGGGCUAAACCAUGCACCGAAGCUGCGGCAGCGACGCUGAUGCGUUGUUGGGUAGGGGAGCGUUCUGUAAGCCUGUGAAGGUGUGUCGUGAGGCAUGCUGGAGGUAUCAGAAGUGCGAAUGCUGACAUAAGUAACGAUAAAGCGGGUGAAAAGCCCGCUCGCCGGAAGACCAAGGGUUCCUGUCCAACGUUAAUCGGGGCAGGGUGAGUCGACCCCUAAGGCGAGGCCGAAAGGCGUAGUCGAUGGGAAACGGGUUAAUAUUCCCGUACUUGGUGUUACUGCGAAGGGGGGACGGAGAAGGCUAUGUUGGCCGGGCGACGGUUGUCCCGGUUUAAGCGUGUAGGUGUGUGUUCCAGGUAAAUCCGGUUCACUUUAACACUGAGGCGUGAUGACGAGGCACUACGGUGCUGAAGCAACAAAUGCCCUGCUUCCAGGAAAAGCCUCUAAGCAUCAGGUAACAUCAAAUCGUACCCCAAACCGACACAGGUGGUCAGGUAGAGAAUACCAAGGCGCUUGAGAGAACUCGGGUGAAGGAACUAGGCAAAAUGGUGCCGUAACUUCGGGAGAAGGCACGCUGACACGUAGGUGAAGUGAUUUACUCACGGAGCUGAAGUCAGUCGAAGAUACCAGCUGGCUGCAACUGUUUAUUAAAAACACAGCACUGUGCAAACACGAAAGUGGACGUAUACGGUGUGACGCCUGCCCGGUGCCGGAAGGUUAAUUGAUGGGGUCAGCGCAAGCGAAGCUCCUGAUCGAAGCCCCGGUAAACGGCGGCCGUAACUAUAACGGUCCUAAGGUAGCGAAAUUCCUUGUCGGGUAAGUUCCGACCUGCACGAAUGGCGUAAUGAUGGCCAGGCUGUCUCCACCCGAGACUCAGUGAAAUUGAACUCGCUGUGAAGAUGCAGUGUACCCGCGGCAAGACGGAAAGACCCCGUGAACCUUUACUAUAGCUUGACACUGAACAUUGAGCCUUGAUGUGUAGGAUAGGUGGGAGGCUUUGAAGUGUGGACGCCAGUCUGCAUGGAGCCGACCUUGAAAUACCACCCUUUAAUGUUUGAUGUUCUAACGUGGACCCGUAAUCCGGGUUGCGGACAGUGUCUGGUGGGUAGUUUGACUGGGGCGGUCUCCUCCUAAAGAGUAACGGAGGAGCACGAAGGUUGGCUAAUCCUGGUCGGACAUCAGGAGGUUAGUGCAAUGGCAUAAGCCAGCUUGACUGCGAGCGUGACGGCGCGAGCAGGUGCGAAAGCAGGUCAUAGUGAUCCGGUGGUUCUGAAUGGAAGGGCCAUCGCUCAACGGAUAAAAGGUACUCCGGGGAUAACAGGCUGAUACCGCCCAAGAGUUCAUAUCGACGGCGGUGUUUGGCACCUCGAUGUCGGCUCAUCACAUCCUGGGGCUGAAGUAGGUCCCAAGGGUAUGGCUGUUCGCCAUUUAAAGUGGUACGCGAGCUGGGUUUAGAACGUCGUGAGACAGUUCGGUCCCUAUCUGCCGUGGGCGCUGGAGAACUGAGGGGGGCUGCUCCUAGUACGAGAGGACCGGAGUGGACGCAUCACUGGUGUU